This 5005-nucleotide long non-coding RNA is filed under the name Oncorhynchus mykiss (rainbow trout). RNAcentral describes it as "lncRNA (ENSOMYG00000064188.1)". The record is from RNAcentral. Lineage: Eukaryota; Metazoa; Chordata; Actinopteri; Salmoniformes; Salmonidae.
AUGGUGUGGACCAGUGCUGGUCUGGUAGUCAUGGUGACAGUGUUAGGACUGGUCCUGCUCCUGUUCUACAGACAGAGGAGAGGAACCAGGAGAACACCACCACCACCACCACCACCAGUCUCCUCCAACACACAACCUGACCCUACUGGAGAGGUUGACUGUGUGUACGAGGAGAUCAGAGAGGCAGACAGACAGACAGACACACUUCCUGUGGUCAUCUCUGUAGUCUACUCUACUGUCAAAUCACCUAACAACUCUACAACCUACCCUGCUGACCAAGCCUCUACAACCCACACUGCUGGCCAAGCCUCUACAACCCACCCUGCUGGCCAAGCCUCUACAACCUACCCUGCUGACCAAGCCUCUACAACCUACCCUGCUGGCCAAGCCUCUACAACCUACCCUGCUGGCCAAGCCUCUACAACCUACCCUGCUAGCUCUGCCACAGGUAUCUGCCACCCAGCUUCUCUCAUCUACUCCAAUGUGGAUCUACUCAAAGAUGCUAGAGUCUCUUCAAGUCCUCCAACAGCCAGUGGAACCCAGGAUGAUUCCAUCUACUCUACAGCCCAGCUACCCAAAGAUACUGUAGAAUCUACAAGAUACCCUGCUGUACACCUCUCUAAAGACACUCCAGAAGAUGCCCUCUACUCUACAGCCUAGCUACCCAAAGAUACUGUAGAAUCUACAAGAUACCCUGCUGUACACCUCUCUAAAGACACUCCAGAAGAUGCCAUCUAUUCUACAGCCCAGCUACCCAAAGAUACUGUAUAAUCUACAAGAUACCCUGCUGUGCACCUCUCUAAAGACACUCCAGAAGAUGCCCUCUACUCUACAGCUCAGCUACCCAAAAUAAUGUAGUACUAUAGAAUAUAUACAAGGAAUGUGUCCCAAAUGACACCCUAUUAACUAUCCCCCAUAUGGACCCUGGUCAAAGGCAGUGCUCUAUAGGGAACAAGGUGCCAUCUGGGAUGAAGGGAAGCUCCCUGUAGAGAGAUGAAGGGUUGUCACCACAGAGCCACCAUCUUGGAACGACAUAAAAAAAACAAUCCCUUUCCUGUUUCAAAUCCUCCUUGACACAUUGUAUUAAAACAGCUCAUGUGGUUUUACUGUAUAUAAUCUAUAUAAAAUAUGAACAUCUGGCUUUAAAAUCACUUUUAUCUCCAGAUUUUGUGAAAUUCAACCAACAUUAUUGUAAAUAUUUGUGUAAAUAUGAACUAUGUGUUUGUCAAAUCUUGUCUUCAUUUAGUCUGUUAUAAUAAUGAAGACAGUAAUACCAUAAUAGUCCCUUUGAGAUUUACAUGUCUAUUGUCUAUGUAUAUACACUGUGCCUUUUAAAGCAUUUCAUUAAAACAUCAAAAUAGUCAAGUGCGUGUUUGUGUGUGUGUGUGUUUGUAGUGUGUGUGUGUGUUUGUAGUGUGUGUGUGUGUGUGUGUGUGUGUUUGUAGUGUGCAUGUGUGUUUGUAGUGUGUGUGUGUGUGUGUGUGUUUGUAGUGUGUGUGUGUGUUUGUAGUGUGUGUGUGUGUGUGUGUGUGUGUGUUUGUAGUGUGCGUGUGUCAGUGUGUUUGUGCACAUGUAAAGAAAGAGGAAGAGUCUUCUAGACUUGAACCGCCUGACUGACACACCACAGAGAGAGCAGACUCGUAGUGUGACAGCAGUACUGUACGGUGUAGUGAAGGUACUGUAACAGGAAUAGUGUAGUGAAGGUACUGUGACAGGAGUAGUAUAGGGUGUAGUGAAGGUACUGUAACAGGAGUAGUGAAGGUACUGUAACAGGAGUAGUGUUGUGAAGGUACUGUGACAGGAGUAGUGUAGUGAAGGUACUGUGAUAGGAGUAGUGAAGGUACUGUAACAGGAGUAGUGUAGUGAAGGUACUGUGAUAGGAGUAGUGAAGGUACUGUAACAGGAGUAGUGUAGUGAAGGUACUGUGACAGGAGUAGUGUAGGGUGUAGUGAAGGUACUGUAACAGGAGUAGUGAAGGUACUGUAACAGGAGUAGUGUUGUGAAGGUACUGUGACAGGAGUAGUGUAGGGUGUAGUGAAGGUACUGUAACAGGAGUAGUGUAGGGUGUAGUGAAGGUACUGUAACAGGAGUAGUGUAGGGUGUAGUGAAAGUACUGUAACAGGAGUAGUGAAGGUACUGUAACAGGAGUAGUGUAGGGUGUAGUGAAGGUACUGUAACAGGAGUAGUGUAGGGUGUAGUGAAGGUACUGUAACAGGAGUAGUGUAGGGUGUAGUGAAAGUACUGUAACAGGAGUAGUGAAGGUACUGUAACAGGAGUAGUGUAGCGUGUAGUGAAGGUACUGUGAAAGGAGUAGUGUAGGGUGUAGUGAAGGUACUGUGACAGGAGUAGUAUAGGGUGUAGUGAAGGUACUGUAACAGGAGUAGUGUAGGGUGUAGUGAAGGUACUGUAACAGGAGUAGUGUAGGGUGUAGUGAAAGUACUGUAACAGGAGUAGUGAAGGUACUGUAACAGGAGUAGUGUAGGGUGUAGUGAAGGUACUGUAACAGGAGUAGUGUAGGGUGUAGUGAAGGUACUGUAACAGGAGUAGUGUAGGGUGUAGUGAAGGUACUGUAACAGGAGUAGUGUAGGGUGUAGUGAAAGUACUGUAACAGGAGUAGUGAAGGUACUGUAACAGGAGUAGUGUAGCGUGUAGUGAAGGUACUGUGAAAGGAGUAGUGUAGCGUGUAGUGAAGGUACUGUAACAGGAGUAGUGUAGGGUGUAGUGAAGGUACUGUAACAGGAGUAGGUUAGGGUGUAGUGAAGGUACUGUAACAGGAGUAGUGUAGGGUGUAGUGAAGGUACUGUAACAGGAGUAGGUUAGGGUGUAGUGAAGGUACUGUAACAGGAGUAGGUUAGGGUGUAGUGAAGGUACUGUAACAGGAGUAGUGUAGGGUGUAGUGAAGGUACUGUAACAGGAGUAGUGUAGGGUGUAGUGAAGGUACUGUAACAGGAGUAGGUUAGGGUGUAGUGAAGGUACUGUAACAGGAGUAGUGUAGGGUGUAGUGAAGGUACUGUAACAGGAGUAGUGAAGGUACUGUGAAAGGAGUAGUGUAGGGUGUAGUGAAGGUACUGUGACAGGAGUAGUAUAGGGUGUAGUGAAGGUACUGUAACAGGAGUAGUGUAGCGUGUAGUGAAGGUACUGUGAAAGGAGUAGUGUAGGGUGUAGUGAAGGUACUGUGACAGGAGUAGUAUAGGGUGUAGUGAAGGUACUGUAACAGGAGUAGUGUAGGGUGUAGUGAAGGUACUGUAACAGGAGUAGUGUAGGGUGUAGUGAAAGUACUGUAACAGGAGUAGUGAAGGUACUGUAACAGGAGUAGUGUAGGGUGUAGUGAAGGUACUGUAACAGGAGUAGUGUAGCGUGUAGUGAAGGUACUGUGAAAGGAGUAGUGAAGGUACUGUGACAGGAGUAGUGUAGGGUGUAGUGAAGGUACUGUGACAGGAGUAGUGUAGGGAGUAGUGAAGGUACUGUGACAGGAGUAGUGUAGGGAGUAGUGAAGGUACUGUGACAGGAGUAGUGUAGGGUGUAGUGAAGGUACUGUAACAGGAGUAGUGUAGGGUGUAGUGAAGGUACUGUAACAGGAGUAGUGUAGGGUGUAGUGAAGGUACUGUAACAGGAGCAGUGUAGGGUGUAGAGAAGGUACUGUAACAGGAGUAGUGUAGGGUGUAGUGAAGGUACUGUAACAGGAGUAGUGUAGCGUGUAGUGAAGGUACUGUGAAAGGAGUAGUGAAGGUACUGUGACAGGAGUAGUGUAGGGUGUAGUGAAGGUACUGUAACAGGAGUAGUGUAGGGUGUAGUGAAGGUACUGUAACAGGAGUAGUGUAGCGUGUAGUGAAGGUACUGUAACAGGAGUAGGUUAGGGUGUAGUGAAGGUACUGUAACAGGAGUAGUGUAGGGUGUAGUGAAGGUACUGUGACAGGAGUAGUAUAGGGUGUAGUGAAGGUACUGUAACAGGAGUAGUAUAGGGUGUAGUGAAGGUACUGUAACAGGAGUAGUGUAGGGUGUAGUGAAGGUACUGUGACAGGAGUAGUGUAGGGUGUAGUGAAGGUACUGUGACAGGAGUAGUGUAGGGUGUAGUGAAGGUACAGUAACAGGAGUAGUGUUGUGAAGGUACUGUGACAGGAGUAGUGUAGGGUGUAGUGAAGGUACUGUAACAGGAGUAGUGUAGGGUGUAGUGUAGGCUCUGGAGAGUCUUACGGUUGUGGGCCGAGCAGUUGCCUUACCAUGCAGUGAUACAGCCCAACAGGAUGCUCUCGAUUGUGCAUCUGUAAAAGUUUGUGAGUGUUUUCGGUGACAAGCCAAAUUUCUUCAGCCUCCUGAGGUUGCGCCCUCUUCACCACGCUGUCUGUGUGGGUGGACCAUUUCAGUUUGUCCGUGAUUUGUACACCGAGGAACUUAAAACUUUCCACCUUCUCCUCUGCCGUCCCGUCGAUGUGGAUAUGGGGGUGGUCCCUCUGCUCUUUCCUGAAGUCCACGAUCAUCUCCUUUGUUUUGUUGACGUUGAGUGGGAGAUAUUUUCCUGACACCACACUCCGAGGGUCCUCUCCUCCUCCCUGUAGACCAUCUUGUUGUUGUUGGUAAUCAAGCCUACCACUAUAGUGUCGUCUGCAAACUUGAUGAUUGAGUUGGAGGCGUACAUGGCCACCCAGUCAUGGGUGAACAGGGAGUAAAGGAGAGGGCUGAGAACACACCCUUGUGGGGCAUCAGUGUUGAGGACCAGCAGGGUGGAGAUGUUGUUUCCUACCCUCACCACCUGGGGGCAGCCCAUCAGAAAGUCCAGGACCACUUGCACAGGGCGGGAUCGAGACCCAGGGUCUGGAGCUUAAUGACGAGUUUGGAGGGUUCUAUGGUGUUAAAUGCUGAGCUGUAGUUGAUGAACAGCAUUCUUACAUAGGUAUUCCUCUUGUCCAGAUAGGAUAGGGCAGUAUGCAGUGUGAUUGCGAUUGACUCGUCUGUGGACCUGUUGGGGCGGUAAGCAAUUGGAGUGGGUCUAGGAUAUCAGGUUGGG